RNAcentral lists this ribosomal RNA (307 nucleotides) under uncultured Planctomycetota bacterium. Its description in RNAcentral is "bacterial SSU rRNA". It matches the Rfam family "Bacterial small subunit ribosomal RNA", at positions 29 to 351 of the family's 1533-position model. The record is from RNAcentral. Lineage: Bacteria; Pseudomonadati; Planctomycetota.
AAUGAACGUUGGCGGCGUGGAUUAGGCAUGCAAGUCGAGCGAGAAUCGUAGCAAUACGAGGACAGCGGCGAAAGGGACAGUAACGUGUAGAUCAUCUGCCCUCAGGUCUGGGAUAGCUGCGGGAAACUGCAGGUAAUACCAGAUGAUAUCUCCGGAUCAAAGGUGUGAUUCCGCCUGGGGAUGAGUCUACAUCCUAUUAGCUUGUUGGUAGGGUAACGGCCUACCAAGGCGAUGAUGGGUAGCGGGUGUGAGAGCACGACCCGCGUCAUUGGGACUGAGACACUGCCCAGACACCUACGGGAGGCAG